UUUAAAACUCGGUGAAGUUGAUAUGUAAGCUUUUUGGGUGAAACAUGUAACAAACUAGAUUUUUACCCAUGCGAUGCACGGCUAAUAUAAUAAUAUAGAAUAAUAAAAAUUAUUAUGUGAUGAUAAUAAAAAAAAUUUUUAAUUAAUUUUAUUUUUUUUAAUAAAUAAAAAAUAUACUAUCAAUCUUAAUUAUAGUACAUAUUAAAAUACACAAGCUAGAGAAAAAAAAAUUUGGACCAAAGUAAAUAUCCAACUAAAAUGCAAAAUUCAAUCCUGCUCUAUUAUCUAUGAAUUGGUGUGCAAAAUAAUUUACAUUUACAUAUUGGUGUGCAAAACAAAAUGAUAACUAAAAUUGAUAUGAAAAAUUACAAAUGACAUUAAUAUUUAAGUAUAUAAUGAGAUUAACUAAACUUUCAUAUUUGACACAAAUUAGAGUAAGCACACGUAUAUUAUUUCCCUACUGUCACUUUUAAGAUUUAAAAAUAUAUAGAUGUUGGUGUUUAAGAUAAUAUAAAGAAAAAAAACUUUGUUGCAUGAAGAUGGAAAGUUACAGGAGUGACAGUAGGGAAAAAAAAAUUACGAAAUGAAAAUUACAGAAGUGACAGUAGAAAAAUAAUAUGUUCUAUUUUAAAACAUUAACAUUUAAGAGCUAAGAAAAUUACAGGAGUGACGUGAGUUUUAAAUUUUUUCCUCUUUCCAAAAAUGCCUCUAUCCUUUUUUACUAAUAUUUUUAUGUCUAGAAAUUUUCAACCAAUCAUUUCAAAUAAUUAACUAAGUAAUAAUUUAUUCCUAAAUAAAGAUAAAUAUUUUUCUUCUCAUGCGUAAUAUCCGCACCCGCCAAUUCUUUCGCAACUUAAUAUCCGUAAAUUUCUCAAAUAUCUCAACAGUCAUCAGCAUGAGAGUCUCGCUCUUCCUACUAUAUAACCCUGACUCAGCCGAGACUUCUUAUAUUUUCGACAAAUAAUUAGCUUUAAUACCAAUUAUGACGUCCCAACUUUUCAGGGGAUCAUCCAUUCUAGGAUUGCUCUAGUCCUAAUAUAUUUAACUCUCUUAACUUUUUGGAUCUAAUCACUGCCCAAAAUGGUAUAACCGAAUUAAACAUUUUAGUCUUAUUAUAUCUCAUAUAUAAGACUAUUUGGGAUCUCACAAUUUUAGCGCGAAAUUGACACGAAAAUCAAAGUUUUAGAGCUCACU
RNAcentral lists this long non-coding RNA (1194 nucleotides) under Ananas comosus (pineapple). RNAcentral's name for it is "long non-coding RNA (ACOM_LNC027039)". Lineage: Eukaryota; Viridiplantae; Streptophyta; Magnoliopsida; Poales; Bromeliaceae. The record is from RNAcentral.